GGAUGUGAGGUUGAUCUGACUGCGACAUCUGUCACCCCUUCGAUCACCAGGGUUGAUUCGGCUGCACUGGUUGGCUAUGAUGUCAUCCCCUCCCUCUCUCUCACCACACCAUGCAAGGUUCUCCUGAAGCUGUGUCCUCCAUGUCUGAGGAGGCCUUUCUUGAACAGAGACAGACCGUUCUUCAGUCAAGGGUUGAUCAGAUCUGUGCUUCCCCAUUAGAACCUCCAAACAAGCUCUCAAAUGAAAUACCUGCAGAAGUCAAUUUACCAGCUUGACUUUUCCAUUUCUUUCCAAAGUGCAAUCAGUUAAG
Molecule: unclassified non-coding RNA, 310 nt
Organism: Sorex araneus (European shrew)
Lineage: Eukaryota; Metazoa; Chordata; Mammalia; Eulipotyphla; Soricidae
Gene: 7SK
Rfam family: 7SK RNA
About the family: 7SK was discovered as an abundant small nuclear RNA in the mid-70s but a possible function has only recently been suggested. Two independent studies have found that 7SK RNA binds the CDK9/cyclin T complex (known as elongation factor P-TEFb).
Source: Ensembl